CAUCACCGAGUCCCGGGCCGCCGCAGUCGCCUCGUCGCACGACUCGAGAACUCCCGCGCGGCCACGGGUCUCGCGAGAGCCGCACGGCCUCCGUCCAGCCUCCGGAGCCUGCCUUCCGCGGGCGGCUGCGGCCGCGCAGCUCGGAGCGGCGGUAGGGGAGCGUGUGCGAGGGAGCCGGGUAACUGGAAAGGGGUCCGAACAGAACCCCAAGUGGCCUCCGCCGUCGAGAACGAGAUAGCUCCCCUAUUGUGUAGGGAGGUCCUACGGUUUUCGGAAGGAAAACGUGUCUUUCACUAGGGAGAAGCCGCUGCGGGCUUGAGGGGAAAGCACGGACGGAAUAACGUGUGUCAAGAUUGAUUAUCUUAGGUGGAGGAGAAAAAAAAUACUGAGGAUCUCAAAAGAUAAAGAGGUUGGACUUAAUCCUACAGCAAAAGAUGUUUGUAAUCCAAUGGACACACAAAAAUGCACUGAGGAAAAAAGUCGCAAAGGUCGCGUGAAAUGCCGGGAAGUUAGACACGAGGCAACGAGAAGAAGACUGUUCUGCAAGGGUUGCGUAACACUUCCACGUCAUGGGGAGAGUGACCUGUGCUAUAGUGAAGUGCACUUAAGGCUUCUUCAGGGAGCGGAUGGGACGAGCCGUGAGGAAGAUCAAAGACAACCCGGGGCCAGAGGGCAGAGUGAUGAGCACACUGGACACCAAACGGAUUAUAAAUCACUUCUAGUCCUUUUAAGUUACUUCUGCCUUUUAUUCUCUCCUACCACUCUUCCUUCCACUUGCCUCUUUUCUCUCUCCCCCCACCCUUCCAUUUUCCGCUCAAUCUCUCUGUCAUCCCUUUCCUUUGAGCGCCAAAGUGAAGAAGAAAUAUAUUAUGUGAUCAAAGAACUUCCAGAGGACGCUUGCAUAUUCCCUGUUAGGUUGUAGGUGCUUUAUGAAAUUUUAUCUUUUACGAACAAAACAACCUAAACCUAGCAUCCUGAGGACAAACGAUAGGGCAGGUUUUGUAAAUUUCUUUUGCUUGAUAUCAACCAAAUUUUGGUUGAAUCCAUUUUCUAAAAUCCUUUGUCCUAUUUUAUUAAUUCCCAGGGCACACAGUGGAAGCAUUAACAGCAUCUUGUUAAUCAGUAUAUACACAUCAAAACAAAUUAAGGAAACAGGAAGGAUAUCUCUUAACAUUUCUUAAAGAGCUGACUCAUGUUAUAGUUUAGUCUACUCUGAUUUUCAUGAGACUUUUGUUCAUUCUUAUUGCAAAUAUAAAGUACCCACCAUGAACAAAGAAUUUUGCUCAAAUUGUAAAUGGUGCAGAAAUAAAUAGGACACAGUCCCUGUUUUCA
Molecule: long non-coding RNA, 1332 nt
Filed under: Felis catus (domestic cat)
Lineage: Eukaryota; Metazoa; Chordata; Mammalia; Carnivora; Felidae
Description: lncRNA (ENSFCAG00000051738.1)
Source: RNAcentral